RNAcentral lists this long non-coding RNA (4134 nucleotides) under Mus spretus (western wild mouse). RNAcentral's name for it is "RIKEN cDNA 9930014A18 gene (ENSMSPG00010027294.1)". Lineage: Eukaryota; Metazoa; Chordata; Mammalia; Rodentia; Muridae. The record is from RNAcentral.
ACUCCGGAUCCUAACUAGCCCUUUGACGUCCUUCAAUGGCUGCACCCCCAAGAACCUGCUAGGCUCCCUCGGCGUGGAGGUGGCAGGUGAGCCUCCGGACUAGACUCACCUGCCGCAAGUCACUGCGGCUCGUCGGCCCCUCCCCCGCGCGCCUGCCCUGGGGUUCAGAUUACCUGCGCGGACUCUCUCCCCGAGAGGUAGAAGCCCUAGGGGACCGGGAGGGGCACCCUGCCGCACCCGAGACUUCUAGGGCGAGUUCGCAGGUGUGGGCUCCGCAGUGCCUCCUCUCCCAGCGCAGACCAAGGCGAAGCUGGGCUUCGGGGAAGGACGCAUUUCUCCCUCGCCGCCCCCCGCGGUUGUGUAGAGCCCCAAGACUUGAAGAUGGGGGGCAAUGCCUGUUCACGCUCGUUGCUGCACGACCCCUCACGCAGAUUUCCAGGAAGUUACUGUGGCCUUCACGACUUGACUGGAGGAGACAUGAGAUAAAUAAGCAGAAGAACAAAUAAAAGUGCCUGAGAUCAGGACUGUGAGGAACGUAAGACAGCACCCUGAGAUUGAGUAACUGUCCUGAAGGAGAGAGUGGCAGGGACGUCACUGGCCUACUUUACAUGAGAUGGCCAAGGAAGACCCCUCAAGAACUGGAAUUUGGGCUGAGACAUAAAGAAAAGAAGGGCUGGCAUUGCUAUCCACUCCAGAAAAAAGAUGGGAACAGAAGGAUGGAGCUGAGAGCGUUUAGAGAGUAGGAGAAAAGGAGAUUGAGAUGAGAGUACAGAAUGGGCAGGGCCGGGAGACAAGAAACAUCCUGAGCCAAAAAUAGAGUCAGUGAAGACACUGUACCAGUGGUGGCUAUUGUACUUGCAUUUUAUUUUAUUUUUUUUUAGAUAAUUUUGUUAAUUAAUCAUUCAACCACAGUAACCCAAAUUUCAUAUUCUCUGCACCUGCUCUAAGAAGAAAGAAAAUAAAAACAAGUUGUGUUCAAUGUUGGUGAGUUCCUGUCUAAGACCCUGAGGCUGAACUGAGAGUUGACCUUUCUACCCCACGAGACCUGAACUCUGACGUUGCAAGUGGGGUGAGAUAUUAGGUUGAAAAUUGUCUCUCCUGGAAAGUAUACAACAGGGGAUCAAAGAACUCUGUGGUUAAGCAAUCUAGACUUCUGUCUAUCCCCAGGCUGGGCCUCAUGCUCACCAACAUAAUAGCAUUUUCUCAAACGCAGCUACCUCCAUAGCACCCUACAUCCCCAAACCCCUAGGCUGAUCGGUACUCAUUCUCCCUGAGGGUUUCUGGCCAUCUUAUAAAGUGAACAGUGGUAGAGUGGAGUGAUAACUUGAUGUUCCUUGUGUUUGCCAAUCAUGUGAUGCUAGAGUUGUCUCUUCUCCAUGCUGGGCCUGGUGUCUCAGCCUUUCAGGUAAUGCUGAUGCUCUCUGUCAUGACAGAGAUGUUCAAGGAAAAUCUAUGUGCAGGAGCAUCCUGUAAAUCCUAAAGGCCAUGUGCACGCUGGGCAUGAUUCACAGCCCAUGAUGACUUUGUGUAAGGAGUAGGAGAGCCUCCUGCUGUGGGCCUCUUUGUAACAAAUCUCCACACACUCCUGAUGUUUGUGUGUCCCCAGCCAGCGUGUUAAGUCCAAAGAACGUAUGAGUCCUACUCAUUAUCAAGGAAGAGGCUAGGCCCUGCUGCCUCCAAGUCUGGUUUUCACAAUGAAUCAAACAGAGUCGAAGGAGGGGUAGAGUACUCCCAUCCUGUGUGUGUUUGCUUGGCCUGUAACCAGCAAAUCUCAGUGACCAGCUUAUUUUGCUUUGCUAGGAACUUGAAUGGUUUUAGUCCUGAACACUUCUGGCCAAAGCUAAUGGCAAUAGUGGUCAUCCGACCUGGGUGCCUCCCUGUCUUGCUCAUUGCCCUCCACCCUGAACAAAGAGCUGUCAUGAGAACUGGGUUAAGUAUGUUACAGGGAUGGAAAAGAGUGCAUACAGAAAGCAGGGAAAAUUGAGUUUUCAGAGAUGCCGCUUUUAACAGACUAGGGCAGACGGUCAUCCAAUCAAAGAGACUAUUAGAUGAACACUUAUUCUGUUUUUUGUUCAUUUGUUUUAAGUUUCAUUCCCUGGGAUAGGUGAUACCCACUGUGCCCACCUCACCUUUGAGAGCUAUUCACCUGUAGCUCUGUUCCCAGCCUGUCAGACUUUGGCUACUAAAUCAAUGUAGGAGUGUUAUACACUGACACAGUUCCAGAUUAAGGAGAGAGGUACCAGAGGCUUCCUAAUCAUGAGAUUUUUUUUCUUUCUUUCUGUUUCAUUUUUUCUUAGAUAACUAGGCCAGACUCUUUCCAACAGGAAGGGCAUGAGUUACUCUGCAGAUGGACAGAGACAAGACGGGGUGGGGUGGGGGGGCUUAGCAGAAGCUAGAGCUGCACCUGCAGCCUGGGACCUCAAGCCAUCCCACCUACUGCUCACACAUUUCUCUUGCUAUCAGGCUGUCUCGGAGAGAGAAGAGAUGGAGCUGGUCCUCCAUCAGGCCCACUGCUUCAGGGGGCCCUGUGAUCAUAUUGUUGAUGUUGCCGGAAAUGUGAUUUGUGCUCAGGAGUCUGAGAUUGUAGCUGGGCUCCCUCAGGAGCCUCAUGAAAAAUGCAUUUCACCAGGCGGUUCCAGGGGAGAGACUGGCUUAAAUUACAGCUCUAGGAAUCCAAAUAUUGGCAUAUCUGCAAAUCCAAAUGUGAGGGGGGGGGGACCUAAAUUCCAAGAAUCUUAUUCUGCACUUCUUAUGUGCAAAAGGGAUGAUGGGAUUCAGAAAGGGGAGAUUCAGACACCCCAACUCUUCCACCCUUUUCUCUCCCCAUGCAUUCUGCCUGCCUUCAAAGAAACAGCCUGUGACACAGAGGAGAAGGUAGCAUUUGUUCGGUGUGACAGUUUUUAGUACAGGUGGGGCAGGGUAUACAGCAUGUGGGACACAGGAGGGCUCAGCCAUCUUUGUCUGCCCCUCCCUGUACAGUUUUCUGGAUCUAGGAUGAAGGUUUCUUAUGGAUCAGUAACGGCACUACAGUCAUUCACGACCCAGCAGGGUGAGGGAUCCUGCACCGCUGUGAGAGAAGCCAAGUUAUUUCUCUGCUCAAAAUCCUCAUCUGCCUUAGAGAGGGGUGGGGUGUUCCUACUGUAGGCUCCAAGGUCAUUUCACUAGUUUGCUCCUCAUCACAAGACAAGAUGGCCCUUCAUUAUUCCCUUCCCCCAUGGCAAGUGCACAUCUCCCUUAGAAUCUAAACUUUUCUCAUUCCUUCUGCAUGGAGUACUUACUUGUCCCUGCAAAGCUUAUCAGACUCUGUUCAGUCUUCACUAAGAUACCAGCUUCCAGAUACAUAUUCCCUGACAAUAUUAUUUUAAAAUCCCUAGACUUCCCAUAUGUAUGGGAAUGUUCUUGCGUACAGCAGUGACUUAGAUGUGGACCCAAGGGGUCUGUGGCUUGGUAUUGAAGAGAUGGUAUCUUUAAAUAGUGAAACUUCCUGGAAGAUGGUUAGAUCAUUGGUGACACUUCCAGUGGAAGGAAUUGUGAUAAUUCUAGAUUCCUGAUUUGUUCCCAAGAGAGUGAGUUGUUAUAAGAGCAAGCCUGAUUGGCUUCCUGUCUGAUCAUGUGACCUCUCCCCUGCACGUGCUACAGCUAUAGUGGUGGCAUCCAUCACAAGGCAUGAGUCAAGCAGAAGCUGGGACCAUGGUCUUUAUCCUGUAAAAUGGAGUAAAUAAACCUUUUUCUUUGGAAGUACCCAGCCUUAGAUGUUUUGUUACAGCCAUGGAAAUAGAUGAUCAUAACCCAUUUCUGUUCUGUUAUAUAUUAUUUAAACUAUGUAUUUAUUCCCUUUUCUUAUUUUGUAUAAGUUAGUAACUUGAUUUGGUUGUCAUAGCUCAUAUAUUAUAAGCUCUGAAUUAUAGUUGAUUGAAUAAUUGACAGUAUCUUUAUGGGGCAUCUCUAUCCCUCUUCACAGUAUAAUUUCUCUUUAAUUUACAGGGGGACUAUCAAGCUCUAAAAUUUAAGUAACUGCCUAUAUUGUAACCAGCACAAUAGUCCAGAAAUCUGGGCUUCAGACAGGUCUUUGAACUGGACUUGGGUGCAUCAAGAAAUAUAACCUUGUGCUACCUUGCAUGGUAUCUACCAAUC